AACGAACGCUGGCGGCAUGCCUAACACAUGCAAGUCGAACGAUACCUUCGGGUCUAGUGGCGCACGGGUGCGUAACGCGUUGGAACCUGCCCUUAGGUUCGGAAUAACUCCCCGAAAGGGGUGCUAAUACCGGAUAAUGUCUUCGGACCAAAGAUUUAUCGCCUUUGGAUGGGCCCGCGUUGGAUUAGCUAGUUGGUAGGGUAAAAGCCUACCAAGGCGACGAUCCAUAGCUGGUCUGAGAGGAUGAUCAGCCACACUGGGACUGAGACACGGCCCAGACUCCUACGGGAGGCAGAAGGGGGGAAUAUUGGACGAUGGGCGAAAGCCUGAGCCAGCAAGGCCGCGUGAGUGAUGAAGGCCUUAGGGUUGUAAAGCGCUUUUACCCGGGAUGAUAAUGACAGUACCGGGAGAAUAAGCGCCGGCUAACUCCGUG
Molecule: ribosomal RNA, 433 nt
Filed under: uncultured bacterium
Lineage: Bacteria
Description: partial 16S ribosomal RNA
Rfam family: Bacterial small subunit ribosomal RNA
Source: RNAcentral